AAAAACAAAGCAAAUUUACGCACUAGCAACAAGUAAUAUAAUCCCCCUUCACAAUAGUCUGUCUGCCGUACAUUUGUUCUCUUUCAUUUGUGUGCAGGACCAGCUGACCUAGUUGAUGAUGUGACUGGUGGACUGAAACUUUUAUAGUUGCAUAAUCAGAAGGUUGAGAUUCCUUUGCUACGCCUACAUUAUUACUCAGCUUCAAACAGGAAAAUGCGGAUAAACUUCUUGAUGGUGAUGAUGAUGACAAAUUUAACAUGCAGACGGCGAUUUUAUCAGACAUUUUUAUUGUUGCUUCAAAAUUUUCAGGCAAAUGAACUGUAGAUUGUGACCUUACAUGCUGCUUGUUACCUUAUUGUUUUUGAAGGCUUUGGACGCUUUGCAUUAAUAGAGUGUGAAGCAGUAUGUAGUUUUCAGAAUGAACUUUAUAAUCAGUACUGCUGAUCUUUCUUCAAUGUUGCAUGAAAUGGUACUAUUACUUUUUGGCGUUUGGGCUUUUGGGUUGUUAUUUAUUUCUAAUUAGUUCUUGAGUCUAAUUUUUCGAGUAUUACUUUGCAAAUACGAAUGAACCUCAAUUAUGUACAUGGAUUUCCAAUUAUGUAUAUUAUACUAUUAUAAAGAAAUUUCAAUUUAAAUUAAUAUCAAUGGUAAAUUUAUAAGUUAAGGAGAAAUAAAUGUCAAGCAAAUUAAAAUCAAUAAAGUAAAAUUAUAUCAGUAGUUCAUUAGGCCCUCAAUUAACCAUCAAUCUUUAAAUUUUAAAUUUCUCCAUUUUUUUUUCAUUUUCGUAGACGAAGCACUUUUUUCCCAUUGUCAUAUAGUAAUAUAUUUUGAAUAAAAUAUGUAAUAUAAGUCAAUGAUAAAAGAUUAUAAAAUUACCUUUAAUUUAAUACGUAAAAGACAAAUUUAAAAUGAACAAGUUAUUAUAAUUUAAAGUUCAACAUAUUAANAGUGGCUAACGCAUAAAGAGAGAGGGGUGAAAGAGAGAGAUAAAGAUGAGACGAGAGAGAGGCAGGCAAAGCUUACAGGUGGCAGUGACAACAUGAAAUGAAGGGAGAUGGACGGUAGAGCUGUUAAAAUUGUUAUAUGAAAUGAGUGCGCUGCCUAAGUGACAGAGUGGUUAAUGCAUAGGUCAAUAAUUUUGGGUUUGAAUCUAUAGCGGUGCGAUCUUAAUUUUUUUAUUUAAUAAUAUUAAUCUAUUACAAAAAAUAAAAAUUAUUUUUAUCAUAUAAAAUGAGGUAGAAUAGCCUAUUGUUUCAAAGAAAAUGAGGGGUCUAAGUAAAGGAUCGUUUGACUCUAUUCCAAAACUUUAGCAAAUUUAAGUAAGGGAAACCGCUCAAAACUGCGCAAAGCCAAACAGCGUCCUAUUCCCAGCCUGAAAUCUGUGAAUUUCCAUUUCCCCAUUACUUCUCUGUCCUCUCUCAUAGGCUAAAAUCUUCUUCUCCGCACCGAGACGCCGUCGUAUCUUUCCCCCUCUAGCUCAGGAGUCUGGACACACUCUUCAUCAUGACAGUAACAGGUCUCUCCCUUUAUCUCUCUCUCAAUAUAUUGUGAAUAGUAGAAUACUGUAUAGUGUAUACAGUAUACUAGUAGUAAUUUCCAAUUAUGUUUGUAGUUUCCUUUUUGUAAUAACUGUUUUCCUAUGUUGUGUCUGUGAUUUAUAUAUUGUAGAAAUUUGUUUUACGAAAUGGUGAUUUGAAUGCAGUGCAGAGUGCUGCGAUGGGGUUUGAUAUGAUAGGGAUGACUUGGCUUAGCGUAUUCUUAAUUGGGGCGGGCUGUUUUGCUCUAGGAUGCCUAAUCGGUGCCCGGCGUUCCUACCACGCCGCUUUGCGUUUGUCAAAAUGUGCUGAGGUUAACGAUGAAGGGAGGAAGAAGGUUAAUCGGGGUAAACCACAGCUCGAGGUUGAAAAACUAGCUGAAAUUAUCGACGAUUUUAAGAUGGUAUAGUUGUAGUUUCUGUUGUGUGUGUGUGUGUGUUGGGAGAAUUAUGACGCUUAAUAUUAUGGUGUUGUGUGGUUUGAUGAUUGAGUGUAGGUAUUGGUUGUGAGGAAUGACCUGAAAAUGGGGAAGGGGAAGAUUGCUGCCCAAUGCAGGUGAGAGUUUCCAUGAUGAUUGAUGAAAACGCCAUGUCAUUUUUUCAUUCUCUCUAUUGAUUGCGUGAAUGGUUUUUUUGUGAAUGUGUUGUUGUUUGUAGCCAUUGAUCAUUAUCUGGUCUUUGACUAAUAAUGUCUUUGAAAUAUGUUCUAAUUUUUUUAAUCUUCUUAUAUAAAAUAGAAACACAGGCACUACCUCUAUAGAACAGAUUGCUUAAGUUGGAUGGGGAAAAUAGAAUUAGAGAAUGUUUAUUGUGUUGGUACUCAUCUAAUGUAGAGGUUGUUAGUAGGAGUUGAGUUUUGGGAUGAAAAUGACAGUAUAUAUGUCUAGAUAUUCAUUUGAGUCCUGAAUAUGUGUCCUGAUCUAUCUUUGUCUUAACAAAAUUUGACAUGCGGUUGCCUUCUAGUGACAUUCCCAUAUUUCAUUCUGACCCAAAUUAAAAUAACUUUCCGGUUGUAGCCAUGCAACUUUGGGGCUGUACAAGAAAAUCCUGAACCGAGCACCAAAAUCUUUAAGCAGGUACAUGUAGGCCUAUUGGAAAUGAUUCUCAAGUUCCAAUAUGAUUAGUUGUACAUAUAUAUUUACAGCUUUGAAUUCACCUUUAUACAGAUGGGAAAUGUGUGGGCAGGUUAAGGUGGUGGUGAAAAUUGAAAGUGAAGAUGAUAUGCUUGUUCUACAGGUCACACUGGCAUCUCAAAUUGUUGUAUUGCCUUAUCAUGGAAUGCAUAUGUUUUAGCUUUAUAGCAUCAACCCUGAAUAUAAAUUAAGCUGCACUGCUUUGUUGCAGGCUAGCAGCAAGAAUGAUGCAGGCAACUAUACAUGAAAUACUAUUAUUAUUGUUAUGAAGAACACAGCAGUAGAUUAUUCCUUAUAAUUAAAUAGCAACAUAAUAAUAAUGUACAGAUGGUCAUUUACACGUUGUAGAAAGGAAUAAGAAUGCAGAAAAGUUCAAACCUCAUUUGAGGAAUCAAUAUAUCCUCUAAAAUAUAAGCUUCCUGUAGUUGAAGAAUCCACCUCUUAUGUAUAGCAUGGGAUAUUUCAUCCUAUCUGCUACUGCACUUGCUCUUUGAAAUUAGAAACAUUGUAAUUGAUCGUAGAAUCAUCUGUUGGAUGUCAUCUCAACUAGAAAGAGAUGUAAAUCAAGAUAGAUAAAAUUAUUUCAAUUACAUUUUGGAGAUCAUCACCAGCUAUUAAGUGUUUGAAUCCCCAUGGAGCAACUUUGGUCAAAUUAGCAUCAUUUUGAUUUUAGACUACAUGGAUAUCUGAAGUUAAUUUACUUUGAUCUUUUCUGGCUUUAUGUCUAACCAUUUUUUACUACUCAUGCAGGAAAGGGCAAAAGUCACUAAACUUACCAACACAUGUUACAAUUGAUGCUGGAAGAACACAGAUUGCUCCAAGUGAGUGACAGACUAUUUUUGUUCAGAUGCAGUACUUGUGCGGUUGUGCCAGAAAUGUUGAACUAAUGCCUGUAUUGUUUUUUAUGUUCAAUUUGUUGUGAGAAAUAAAAAGUUUAUUCCACGCUUUAAAGUCAUAGAGAGAAAAUGUUUUAUAUCCAUCCUUUUUUGUUACAAGAACUAUCUCCCUUGUCUAGAUUAUCUUCAUUGGCUAACAACAUUCAACUCAUUCCUAUUUUUCAGAUUCAAGAACAGUGAUGGCAGUCCUGGGUUAGUUUUUCGCGUCUCUUCUUUCUAAUACAUAAUAUUAGACGUCUAGACACAAUUAAAUUCUGAUUCAGAAGCAUGUAAUGAAAGCUUGCACCUAUCAUACCUUUCUGGAGAUUGCAUCUUCUGCCUAGACAAAAAAACAAAGCAAAUUUACGCACUAGCAACAAGUAAUAUAAUCCCCCUUCACAAUAGUCUGUCUGCCGUACAUUUGUUCUCUUUCAUUUGUGUGCAGGACCAGCUGACCUAGUUGAUGAUGUGACUGGUGGACUGAAACUUUUAUAGUUGCAUAAUCAGAAGGUUGAGAUUCCUUUGCUACGCCUACAUUAUUACUCAGCUUCAAACAGGAAAAUGCGGAUAAACUUCUUGAUGGUGAUGAUGAUGACAAAUUUAACAUGCAGACGGCGAUUUUAUCAGACAUUUUUAUUGUUGCUUCAAAAUUUUCAGGCAAAUGAACUGUAGAUUGUGACCUUACAUGCUGCUUGUUACCUUUAUUGUUUU
This 4253-nucleotide long non-coding RNA is filed under the name Salvia miltiorrhiza (redroot sage). RNAcentral describes it as "long non-coding RNA (SMIL_LNC005132)". The record is from RNAcentral. Lineage: Eukaryota; Viridiplantae; Streptophyta; Magnoliopsida; Lamiales; Lamiaceae.